UGGGGAAUAUUGCGCAAUGGGCGAAAGCCUGACGCAGCGACGCCGCGUGAGGGAUGAAGGUUUUCGGAUCGUAAACCUCUGUCAGAAGGGAAGAAACCGCACUGUGCUAAUCAGCAGUGCCUUGACGGUACCUUCAAAGGAAGCACCGGCUAACUCCGUGCCAGCAGCCGCGGUAAUACGGAGGGUGCAAGCGUUAAUCGGAAUUACUGGGCGUAAAGCGCACGUAGGCUGCUUUGUAAGUCAGGGGUGAAAUCCCACGGCUCAACCGUGGAACUGCCUUUGAUACUGGUUAGCUUGAAUCCGGGAGAGGGUGGCGGAAUUCCAGAUGUAGGAGUGAAAUCCGUAGAUAUCUGGAGGAACAUCAGUGGCGAAGGCGGCCACCUGGACCGGUAUUGACGCUGAGGUGCGAAAGCGUGGGGAGCAAACAGG
Molecule: ribosomal RNA, 429 nt
Filed under: Fusobacteriota bacterium
Lineage: Bacteria; Fusobacteriati; Fusobacteriota
Description: Fusobacteria bacterium partial 16S ribosomal RNA
Rfam family: Bacterial small subunit ribosomal RNA
Source: RNAcentral